Long non-coding RNA from Larimichthys crocea (large yellow croaker), 293 nucleotides. RefSeq lists it as uncharacterized. NCBI's taxonomy places the organism in Eukaryota, Metazoa, Chordata, Actinopteri, Sciaenidae. The transcript is spliced from 4 exons. The record is from RefSeq and is a predicted model, not a curated record.
AUACCUCAUGAUGAACUGAAGACGCGAAGGACAGAUCUCCACCACAGACGACACUGAUAAGAUUUCAGCGCUGCAGAAGCAACUGGAGAAGAAGCAAGAGGACCUGAACUCCAACACUGCAGACAUAGAGAGACUGAUUGCAAACCCCCAAACAAUUUUAACAAUUAUCGAAGUGCAGAAUGAAAUAUGGGACCUUGAGAAAAAGCCUGCCAAUGAGACCAAUAGUGAACGUCUAAAAGAGCUUCAAGACAGAGUGGAUGGCCUUAUCACUGAAAUAGACGACAAUGAAAGCA